AAUAUUUGAGUAAAAAGAAUUUAUCUUGGAUAAGUACUUCUUCGAAAUAAUUCGUAUAAUGCCCAACUCUGUUCCAACACGAUUUCGCCUCUUUACACGAGCACCGGAUCUCGCGACCGAUCACGAAUCGUGGCCGAUUCUUUGGAAGAUCGACAAAUGGUGUUCAGGAUCUUAUAGAGAUUCACUGAUAUUGACCUCGCUAUAUCCCACACACAUUUUGCAUCGACUACCUUGGGCUUGUUCCGAAAAUUCCAUUGCCCUCACGUGUAUUAUCCCAGGAUUUAUUGUACACGGUGUCCAAAUCGACAGCUGAAGAGUUAAAUGAGCAAAAAUUAUAAUAGAUUUUUUAAUCCUGAAUGUUUUGGUUUUAUUAAUUAAAUUACUUCAAUCUUCAGAAAUCUUUCAGUAAGAUGCUUCGACAGUCAACGUUGUUAGUUCUUUCGUUCUCGUUUCCCUUCAUUCAUGUUUUUAACUGUUUCAAUACAUUAAAAUAGCUCUUUUUAUUAACACUAGAACCGUUAGACUGAUUUUUAGUUUUUAAAUUAUACUGAAAUUGUAUAAAUAUUUCCAGAGCACAUUUGUGGACAAUUUCUUUUGUAAUGUAUUCUGGUGGACUGUUUGCCAAUUACCUUCAUAAUAUUUUUUGACAGAUUGUUUCACAUUUGUUUAAGUUAUAUUGUAAUAGAAAUCGUACAAAGUUCGUAAAUUAAGGAUUGGUAUCUAUAUCAGAAUUUACUGUGCCGGAUACUUGAUAUUUAAGAAAAUAAGUUCAAACGUAGAGUGAUAUCUUUCAUAUUCCUCUUUAGUAUCCUGAAUUUUACUAUUAUGUUAACCGUCGCUCUUUUCGUCGCAAACAUAAAUGCUGACUUACUAAAUUGGCUCACACAUUCUCUCUUAUAUAAGGCCUUCAAUGAAACGACAUUAAUUUACACUACCAACUUAUUUUCAUAUGAUCGAACACCCUUUGAUGUCUACCAUAGGACACCCUGUAUAUUAAAUCCCGCAAGACGAAGCCCGGGUUCACUUUGACGCAGCUUUUCUAGGAUCACAUUCAACACUAGAUCUACCAAUCAGUCGGAGUUAUUAAAUUCAACUUUAUUAUAUACUUUUAUCGUAACUUACCCGAAAAAAAAUUCAUAAAUCAAAAAUCUUUUUCUCUUUAUAAUGACUGUAAAAUUAGAAAUUUGAUCUCUGGUACUUCUAGUGUUCUCGUCGCCAUCUUCGGCUAUCAUCGAGAGACUAUAUCGAAUAUAAAAUAAAAUAAUAAAUGAUUCGAAAAUGAAUCUAGAAAAACUGCGAAUCGGAGACUAGAAUGAACCCCGGACGUCGUCGUCAGUUCGAACGAAUCCGAAUGGAAACCAACUAAUUUGCAUAGCAGACGUUGUACUUUAGCUGAUCGUAGCUGAAACGUAGACCGUGACGAAACGGUUAAUCAAAGGCUCCGGCGAAAGACUGACCGAACACCUCGAAGGCUCGCGUUAGAAGCGAAACUGUGACAGCACUGUGAUCGAUGGAAAAUCAAAAUCGUUGAGUUACACAAGUCGAGUGCUUACGGGUUUAAAAGACGGCGAUAAAACACGAAUCUAGCCAGGAAUCGUUUAGGCGAAUUUGUCGUUCGAAGAGAUCGAAGGGAGCGUGGAGACAUCUCGAAGCGAGAAGACGAGCCGCGCGCUCCCGGAAAUUUUUAAACCGUUUCUCGUGUGAAUUGAGAACUUAGGGCGCGUUGCACGAAGAUACUCGAAAGAUCGAUCCUUGUCCGAUUUUAUUAGACCGUACUUUAUACGAGGGAAGUAUACGCGGGCCAGCCGAAAUCGUACGGAACGAGGGGGACAGCAUUCUCGGUGGUCCUGAAACUGAAAGGCGAUUUCGAUCGACGAAAUCGUUUUCCACGUGGGUGGGCACGUUUUGCAACGAGAGACGGCCGAUCGAGGUGUCCAGAGAGGGAUCCAAAAACAUUGGAGUGGAACGUGUCUUCCAACUUAACAGAUUGUUUACAUCUCGUUCUCUCUUGAACUUUAAGUGUUCCCAACGAUCGGAAACAUUUAUCCUUCGACUAUAUAUUUCGUUGAUGCAUGAGAGUACAUUUAAUUUAUUCAGGAAUUGCCUUUUGUAAAUAUAGGAUUUUAUAUUAAUGUACAAAUAUUACUUUAUGUGUAAUAUUAAAUAUUAUUCAAAUAUUUUGUGUAUAAGUUACUCGGUUCUACGGAUGCUACCUGAUUGCGAACUUUGGUAACUUUGACGUCGCUGUCGAUUUAUUUUCACUCUGUGCUCGUUGUAAUUCCUGAUUUCCGCGGUUCGAGAUUCUUCACGUUUGUUAUUACGAUUUUUGUCGACCGUCUUCGGACCGUGUUGUUCGACUCCCAAUGAGACCCAGAUCGAAGCUUUCGGAAUAAUGUUUCGUUUCGCCGUUUCGGCCGUGCCACGCGUAUAUACCCGUUACUAUAAUAUACACGUUAUUACGCAUAUACGUACAUAUAUUAUAUAUAGAUACGUAUGCGAGGACAUUGCAUAAUACCGACGACACGUAGCGUAUAGAGAAAUAAUAAAAAUAUGAGAGCGAAAGGAUGGAGGACGAAGAGGACUCGCCACUCGCGGUCCACCCGCGCUAUACUCAUUGUCAGCGUAACAAUAAUCCGUGCCGACUAUUCGCGGUGUAUUUUCACGCUUGAACAUGUCGUUCGAUAGUUACGACGCCGAGAAUCGUCAAUCGUUUCUCUCUCUCUCUUUCUCUCCGAUUCUUAUUCUCACGAAACGCGGACGACGCGGUGCGGGAUGUUAACAGACGUUAUGCUGCGUGUCCAUCACGGGAUUUCGCUAAAAGUUUACACCUUGUAUCAGACAGAUACGCCAUGUCGCUAAAAACUGGUUCACACGCGUCCAGUAAUUUAGUCUAGUGACGAGUAGCUAUAGUCCCUGCGCGAGAAGAAGGCACCUUUCUGUUUACAUUCCCCCCUCUAAUUAGCUGCUCCAUUGCUGCAGCUAGUAAGAGGGGGGAACGUAAAGACGAAGGCGCCUUCUUUUCGCGUGAGGACUAUACUUACUACUAAACGAUUUAGUACAUAAGAACGUGUCCGGAUAUAAAGUGUAUCCUUUUCGUUUCAACGUGACAUCUUGUGUCCAUUUGUUACAUUAGUUACCAGUGAGUAGCAGGGGAAGCCUUCUUGAUCAGAAAAAUCCACUGAAAUGGAUCUACUCGACUAAAUUGUUUUACUAAAUUGCUCGACUGAAAUGUUAUGUCCAUACACAGUGAACUAAACUACUCGCCGCUCGACUAAAUCACUGGACCUGGUUAAGCCAGCCCUAACUGUUCACUCUAAUUCUCGUCGAAAGAGUCAAUUUUCAUAUAUGCUCUCUUUUCAUUUACUGUCUUCAAGGAACAUAAGAUGCAAUAGAUUCGAUGUCUUCAUGUUCAAUUGACAGCUUUUGCAAGAACUGUCGUACUAAUGUACGUUCACGUUUCUGGAGGACGUUGAACGAUUUUCGAUUACGCUGCGUCUUCAUUCAAAAUUCUAAAGAACACAGGUUCCAGAAGCUAUUAUUUAACAGUUUUCAUGGAAACUGCUCAUGAAGCUGAUUGGAGAAUCAAUUUUCGAUUAUGUUUUAAUAAGGAUUUUCCUGACAGUCUCCAGACUGUUUGUGAUCACUUAACAGCUUUUACAGAACUGUUAAAAUCUAUAGUGACCAUAGACACAAUUUGCACUGUUCAAAGUCUUGGAAACAUCUAACAAACACAGUCUGGGUCUGUGAAUGUUCAGUAGCGUGAACAACUGAGAAUCUCGGUGAAAAUCUCCGGCGAAUAUAAGUAGAAGAGCAAUACUGUUUGAUAAUUCGUGCCGCGAGUUAACACGAGAAUUUUAGCCGAAAUUUCUGAUGAACAUAUAUGCUCUAGCUCAGCUGCGUGUUUAUUCGAGAUUACCGCUAAAAGUCUCUAGCAGCUGUCCCAUAGUUUAUGCAACGUGUUGGCUUGGGUGUUUUAUGGGGAACUUUUAAUGAACAUAAAUUGGAGAGCAAAUUCUCCGAAGCUGAUGCUGCUGUGUUCACUUGAGUGUCUCGUUGGGAACUUCUAACGAACAUAAAUUUGAGAGCAAACUGUACGGUGGGCUGCGUGUCAACUGGAUGGUUGAUCUCGCGAUAUUAAUCGCGGUCGAGAAUGAACUUCUGUAUUUAAGGGAGAUUUUAGAGCUAUCUCCACCUCAGAUUCCCUCGCGUUUGCUCUGAAAUUGACAGACGCCAGAGAGUUUCUUUCGAAGUCUCGCGUGGAUACGUAAUUGACGGCUGUCAUUUGUAGAUCGAGUCUAAUCUCGGGAGUAAAACUCGCUCGAAUUCCGUGUGGACACGUAGACGUUCUAACGUCGACUAGCGCACUUCCGGGAUGUUGGGUGCACCGCGUCGAUUAUCCGUGCAAUUGAUUAAUCCUUCAUCGUAGCGACAGUCACGCUAACAAGACGGGGAAAUGGUGCGAGGGGAUAUUUCGAAACGAAACGGAGUAUUGCGAGACACUGCCGUGGAUUUUCAAGGCGACGUGAAUUCGGGAUUAGAAUAAACGAUUAGCGGACACGCAGCGUUCAAGUGCCAAAUUUUUAGCGAUCUUAGAAACGUAAUUUAUCGAGCCCGAGACCGAGCAGACGCUUAAUUAGUGGACAGAGGGGUAGCUAGCCCUCGAAAGGCGCAGAUUUGGUUCUUUUCAAUCUGGACUCAGUUUUCGAGAUUUCUUUUCGGUUAGCGGGUUUCUUGUUCUUGAAAAAAAGCUCUCUUUGUUGUUUGAAAAAUGUUCAUCUACGAAAAUAUUUGACAAUAGAACAAACAACAUUCUACAGAAAAUGUUUAUUUAUAAAAGCAAUGGAAGACAGCACUGGUGAGACUUUAUAUUUGUGCGAAAUAUUAAAAAUAUUGUAUUAUAAUUUAUUUGCCAAUCAUUUUAUUAGUGAUUAUUUCAUUAACAACUUUAUUUGUUGCUUUUCAUACUAUUACAUUUCGUACGUCUUUCAGUAUACUUUUCUAAGAUAAAUGUGCAAAUAGUAAAGUUGUUUAAGAGGUAUAUUCUGGUGUGACAAGUGCUUUUUCAGUCACUUUUGCAAAUUUUGUAUAAAGAUUCAAUAUACAAGUUAUUAUUGGCACUACACAUAUUUUUAUUAGAAAGUAAUUCAAUUUGGUAAAAGCACAACACGUCGAAGUCAAGAUUGGGAAAUAAAUAUGUGGAAAAUAGAAUUUAAAAUAUAGCAACUACUAGAACAAAAGGAAAAGUUCACAAUUAAAAAAAUGGUGACACUUUAAAAUUUGAUUACAGAUUUUUCCUGAUUUAUCAAUAUUGACUUGCUAAAUAAAUGAAAAAAAAAUAAACACUUUGAGUCGGUUCAAGUACGAGCCGAAGACAUGGCAUACCGAAUGUGCACCAAAAUUUUGAAGACAAUUGGUCAAGUGCUAUAAUUUUGUUAAUCUUAACAAUUCAGGUUUUGUUGAUGUACUUUAGAACCCAUAUACUUUAAGAAAAUUAAAAAAAAAUCCCCCUUAAAUGCAACAUAAAUUUCUCCUGCCUUGAAUUAAACGAAAAGUUGUAUUCGCUUGAAUCGAAACUUCGUUCGUUCAUCUAUUAAAAAUUCCUAACGCGAUAGAUCUAGAAAGCUAGUUCAGAGUCGAUUGUCGAAUUUAGCGAAAUGCAGAACUGAACCGAGAAAAGACCUAGUCUUCGCCGUUGAGGGUCGAUGCUGGCUCGCGACGACUGAGAACGAAUGAUUAGUACAUUAGACGAAGCUGUAAUGUGAUUCGUCCUAAGAAUUAAGGCGGUUGACGGUCGCGUACGGUCGACGUGACGCGCGUAGACGUUGUGAUAGUUGCGUAUCGUUUUCGUACGCGUUUUACGUGUAGUCGCAGGGUCGCAGGACGCGCUGCAGUUGAUUCGAAGGGUUUCCGAGCGGUUGCCAAUGAAACGUUCUCUAUUUUCCGAUAUUUUUCUAGGGGAUGAGAAAUAUUGACGGUAGUUCGUUAUUUCGGUUCGUUUUUUCGUUCGACGUCUCUGCGCGCGCGAACCGAGGUCAAAGAGCCACGGAAACCUGCGGAAACUAUAUUUUGCCGAAUUCGCAACAAUUUGCCGGCGCAAACGGGAGGCGUCGACAGCGUUUGGUAAAAGAGCCGCGUGACUUUGUGCGGCUGUCAAGCGGGAACGCGAGGCAACGGUUUCAUUGGUAAUUAAACAGGGGGUGAUUUCGGUCCUCGUUAGCGGACGGACGCUUGUCGGAACACAUUCGUUUUAGGACGACGCGUAGAGUCGUCCCCGUUGCAAGCAAUACGAAUAAACAUUUUCCAAUUGGAUAUGUAAUAACGGGAACAUUCACGGAAUAAACCCUUUCAACGGAUACUUGUUGUUACACUUUGAAGUAUGCCGAGAGCGUUUCUACUUUUGUCGUAGGGUAUUUUGUCGUUUAACGAGUGUCGUCGAAUUCUGUCGCUGGAGCGACCGAAAAAGACGAACUCGCGGAACGAGUAGUACUAUUAUUGUGCGAUCGUGUGUACGUUCAUUCGCGAAUUACAUUCUUUCGUGAAGUUUCAAGAGUUUCCUGCUAGAACUUACCGCUUCUUUACGAGCCUUCGUUUCGACACGAGAAACCGCAACACUUCGUUGACUUUGAUCCGAUAAUUGUACCCGAAACGUUCGAGAUAAGCUUGUUUUCUGGACGGUACUAAGCUCAAUGAAUGCGUCAUGGUGGAUAUUGGAAACUCAUGAACUCUUGGAUGAAGAACGAUCAUCAUCGUCGGAUGAAUAGAAAUAAAUUCGUUCGUGUAAGAAAGAAAUGACAAUUUAGGAUAGACUUUUGCAAUACGUGUUAGUAGAAGAUUAGAGUAACGAGAACGGUUGAUUUUCUUGUAAUCGUGACGAGGGGGCGCGAAGGGUUCUUCGAACGUCCCCUGUCGCAGCUAGAAUAUUAAGAGUGAUAUAAUUAUAAGACUGCGGGGCUUUGUGCGUUCAGAGCGAGUGAACGUUUGGAGACAGUUGGACAAUGGAAAAAUACAACCGAAUCAAAAGCUGUACGAUUUCCCUUUCAAUUCACCCAACCACCCGCGAGAGGACAAGCUGGGGUAGUGGGACCAGUUACUGCGGGAUGUCCAAUUGCUGGGACUUUGAUUUGUUUUCGAGCGUAAUUAAUUUUUUUUAUUCAAGUAUUAACAAUCUAAAAUACUAUAAAAUUUUCGUACGUUUUUUUGGAUAAAUAUAAAUUUGAUUAAAGACAUGUUCACCCAUCAAGGACGAUAUCUGUGCAGCGUUCGGACCUUUCGUGUCGUGCUUGUAUGUAUGGAUAAUUUUUAUAAUUCUCCAUAAAAUACUCAAAACAAAUGGGACACAUUUUGUAAAGAUUUUCCGGGCAGAUACCGCAGUGCUUAAAAAAUAUAAAACUAAAAAGAGGAGAAAUAAUUUCAGACGAUGGUCGGUUUUUGUUAUAAUCGUCGGUAAAAAAACACGAAUCGUGCGUCGUCUUGGCGGGCCAAUGAAAUGACAUACUAAAUGUUUUUAUUGAAAAAUGAACAAAGUCAAAGAAUACAAAAAUUUUUGUAUGCUUUCAUUUUGUUUAUAUUCUAGCAAAAACAUUUAAUACGUCUUUUUUUCGAUACACGUUGCUAAAAGCAAAUCCAAGACAUUUGGUCAUGCCACAGUAACCGGCCCCACCAACCUCACUCAUUCGAUUCCCGUGCCUCCGAAUUCGCAUGAAGCUCCGCAGUCCGCGUUGCAACUCGAUUGAUUUGUCCUUCGAAGAGAACUUGUUCCAGCCAGACGAUUCGAAUUAUUUUUCGCGGUGUUCUGUUCGAGGAAUUCCCAUCUGUACAUGAAACUAACGAAUUUUUACGAGUGCGUGAAUCCGUCAGGGUAACUUCAAUUGCCCUCAGGGGACAUGGAGACGGAGAUUCUCGUCGAAUCGUUGCUGGGUAGAUUGCUCGUAGAAUUCCUCGAGGUGUAAAAGUAAUCGUAGCGGGAGUAAUAAGGGAGGACAACGUGUCACAGCGAACCGAAUUUAACAAGGAUUUUUAUCGGAUGCGAAUCACAGGCGAGAAAUGGAAAAACAAUCGUAUCGAAUGACUUCUGACCGCGCUAACUCAGAUUCCCUUCGUCUUAAAGAACGAAACCCUUUCCGCUAGACGCUCUUUGUCAAACGAUUCACCGAGGAACCCGAGAUUAACUUGAACGGCGAGGAAGCAAAAUAGCUGAAUAGGAACGUCCGCGCUAUGCGUGCUCUAAUAAUCAUACUUGAAGAAAAAGGGACGCGUGCGUGACAAGACCUAAACUCGAAAGGGGGUAAAGAAUAGACCGGGAGCGCGAGGAAGAACGAAACUAUUAAACGUGUACCGCUAAACAUAAUCUAUACAUAUUUAAAACUAUCGAAUGCUAAAGUCAUAUUCGUAAUACCACAGCAAACGGGAGAAUAAAUAAACUAAACUAAAGGAAUGAAUAAUCGAUUAACCGAAUAUUAAACGCUAGUCUGUAAUCGAUAGUCACGUAGUUAUAACUUCGAGCAGUAUCUAUAGGGAUGAUUCAGAGGUAGUCUAUUAGAGAUUAGGGUCGCAAUCGAGAUGAUUUUCUCUACGAAACUCUAAUGAAAGGAAGCUAAUAACUAAUUAUCUCCAGAGUAACCUAUUGAACUUAACGAAGCCGCGUAUGCGUGACACGUGAACACGUCGACGUGAACGGAAGACCGGAGGGGUAGAGGGAACGAGGUGUAGAGCAGAAUGGUUUUUCUCAGAUGGCGAGCCUGAGGAAACGACAGAGAGACGAGAUGGAAAAUAACAAAUUUGCACGAAUCUCUUUCUUCUCUACCUAAUCCCCUUUCUUCCCUGCUAUAUAUUUUAACGAACAAUUGUCUCUUGUUGUCCACCGUUACACCAGACGUCGAAGUCGUUACCAAACCGAAUAAUCCUGUGCGAGAAUAGAACGAAGAGUAAAUCGAAAAAUUACGAGAGUGAUAGCUAGCGAGAAAGAACGAGCGAGAGGGAGGGAAAGAAAGGGAGAAUGAACGCGACGAGUGAGAGCAAGAAAGCGUGUGAGAGAGAAAGGGAGAGAGAGAGAACGAGAGAAAGAGAGAAAGAAGAGAUAUAAUCUUUGCGUUACCUUGCAAAUUAUAGAAGGAAAAAAAAAGAAAACUGAUGGAAAAUAAAAUAUUGAAAAAGAUACUCCCUUUUCCGUAGACCCUGGUGGGACGAUGCAAUUGAACUGACUCACCCUCGAUCUCACUUGAUUUUUAAUUAUGCCUCGACAACAGCCUGGCCUGAUAUUAGUAAAUUCAUAUUGAAGAACGUUAAAUAAGGCUCUUUUUCGAGGCAGAAACGUUGAUCGAUAUGAAAAUCCCUGUUAACUGGUGAGCACAUAAUCGCCGCAUUGUAAUAUUAUUAACAUUAUUACGUUAUUAUGAAAUUGUUGAAAUAAAUGAAAUGAAAAUAAA
Non-coding RNA from Megalopta genalis, 9425 nucleotides. The record is from RefSeq and is a predicted model, not a curated record. Lineage: Eukaryota; Metazoa; Arthropoda; Insecta; Hymenoptera; Halictidae.